ACCAGAAAGUGCUUCAUUCUCCACUGAUGUGCAGCCAUCUUUGAAGUGAUUGUACCACUCCUUUAUCUGUGUCGUGCCCAUUGUUUCAUCCCUGAAGACCAGUUGAAUCUUGCAAAUUGUUUCCACUUGGGAAUCGGCAAGCUUUACACAAAAUGUAAUGCAGUAGUGUUGUCCACAUUUUUCUGUCAUUUUGUCAAAAAUGAAUGUGAGACAGCACUCACACUUCUUCACUCACUGGCUGUCUACUGGCAACUGACAGCUUAUUCCGGCAGAAAAAAAUUCAAGCAUGAGAUUUAUGAUCGCCUACAUAAGCAGACUAAACCAUGCUUUCCUAGAUUCAUUUGUUUAUUUACAAAAAACUAUGGUUGGAUACUUUUUGAACACACCUCAUAGAUCCUGUGUUCCUCAGCUUCCAAGCUGAUUUGAUAGUCUUUCCAAGGGCCUAACAUUGACAUCUCAGGAGACCUGUUAAGCAGCAUGGACAGUCACAUUCUUAACAAACCAUGAAUUCUGGAGAUGUGCAAGAAAAUAACUCUUUAAAGUUCCAACUGCCUUCAGGAGCCCUCCAUUAUGUUAUCAAAACAAAGAGCUAGUUGAGUUAGGAUUGUUUGCCUUCUCUUACCCCAGACACCAGAUCAGUGUCCCUGAAGACAAGGCUGUCACAGCUUCUCCCAUUUGCCUUUUUCUCCUCUUUCUCCUCUGUAAUCUCCUCUGGGAAGCUCUCUCAUUGCUUCUCUGCAGCAGACAGUAGGAAGAAAAUGAAGGUGGGAAGAAAAUCCUUAAAACAGCAAUUCAGUGAAAUUCAGUUUAUGAAGUAAAUUGGCAAGGAUGUGUGGGUGAAGAUCAUCUUCAAGAACCCAAGAAUGAAGUUUUUCUUUUCAGGCAAUCAUCCUUGUAAAGGAUUUUGCAUCGAGAAGAGGGACAAUUGCAAUUGCCUCAUUUUCCUUUGGACAGGAGAUCACCAGUAAGUGGAAGAUGAUAAGGCAGAAGUUCUUCAACCUUCGUAGGGCAUGCAGUGCCCAGCUGGCUGUAAUGCUAUACUAUCCUGCACACAGUGUCCAUAGGAACAGGCUGGUCGCCCUUCUUGGAGGAUAAGGAAUGAAGAAGGUGUGGUAAUAGAGGUUCAGGAAGAAGAGCCUCACCUUAGCGAAGGUUUUUCCUUGAUCCCUCCUUGUUAUCCAACAUAUUCGCUUAUCCAACAUUCUGCCGGCCCGUUUAUGUUGGAAUAACUUGAAGAAGAGCAGGUUGCUGUUGACAUGUCAGGACCCAGUGGAAGUCAGCAGAAAAAAAAGAAGGUAAAAUACAGAUUUCACUCUCUUUUAAAACAAUGUAAUUUUUUUUAUUAAAUUUACUAAACAUAAAUUGAAUGGGAUUUUUUCCACAUAAAUAUUCU
Long non-coding RNA from Anolis carolinensis (green anole), 1393 nucleotides. RefSeq lists it as uncharacterized. The record is from RefSeq and is a predicted model, not a curated record. NCBI's taxonomy places the organism in Eukaryota, Metazoa, Chordata, Lepidosauria, Squamata, Anolidae. The transcript is spliced from 5 exons.